AGUCAUAGUGGGCUGCUCCCGCCAGCCUCAAAGGGAGGGGAAGAGCGUGGCUGGAGCUGCCAAUUGAAUAGGCGCAGGAGGCUUUCUUUUCUUCCCGGUGCCGGCAGCAGGGCGUCCCAGCUGGGCUUAUCCGGGGUGGCCGUUGCAAAAUUCAGCGGAUGGCACAGAUAAAAGGAAAGAUGCUCGCUGGGGUCCCAGAGGCUUUGAGCCUCGGGUUAGCGAUGCCGGGGGUUGAACCGGGAUGGCUUUGCUUGCCAAUCGGGGUGUUUUCAGCCCUGCUGCCCGUGGCCUUUCCCAGCCUUUGAAAAGGAAUAGGGUGUUGUAGCUGCUUGCCAAUACUGUAAGCUUUUUUUUUUUCCCCUGAUCGAAGCGUGGCUCGGUUUUGAACGCCGUUGGUGAAUGACUACUGCUAAAAAUACCAGGUGAUGUGCUGACAGCCGAUAUUGUCACAGCCUCAGACUGCCUAAACCUGUUUCCCACCUGAAAAUUGCCACAAAGACAGUCCUGGUAGAAUUGCUGUGAUGUCACAAAAUGACAUACUAACAAAUGCUACAGAACUUCUGAAGUGCAACUGUUUGGAGAAGAAAGUGAUCUGGGUAUAUGUAAUUGGAAAGUCCCAAUUAUUUUAUAAAUGAUUCAUCCUUUUCUUAUGAUGGUCAUAGUCAUCUAGAUCAGUCAUUUAAUUGAACAUGCCCUUUUCAAAUUAGCCUGAUGUUUUAUUUCUCUUUUUAAUUUGUAAGCUUUGCAUCUCACUUUUUAUUCAGGAGAUCAAGAUGAUGUUAUAAUAUUCCCUCUUUCUAUAUUUCCCAACACCGAUACCCCUGUGAGUUAGGUUGGGUUAACAGAGAUUGAAUGGCUUAAAAUCACCCACGACCUUUUGUGACUGAAGGUGGAUUUGAAUCUGAGCUUCCUUGGUGCUUGUCCAAUACCUUAAUCUCUUCACCACACUGGCUCUCUAAUGCUGUGUCAGUUACCAGCUUUUGCAAUCAGUAGAUUCUACAUGUGGCCACAAUGUCAUAUUCGAGACAUUUAGAGUAGUGAUUGCUGUAGAAUAUUUAACUAAGUCUUUCUGAACACACCAAACCCUGCUAUAUGAGAGCAAGAACAUGGUCCUAAGAAAAGCUAAUGGAAAUUCAUGUACAGUAUUAAGAUUUUUGUUUUAAGAUUGUAAAACUGUUUCAUUGCAUGAUCUUAUUUAACAAACACGUUUUGCUGGCUUCAAACUUCUUGGCCAUAGGGCCGCAACCUAAGGUGAUUCUUCCCUUUUAACUGACAUUCAGGAAAGUAUCAAAAUCAUCCUGAACUGACUUCUAAGCAACUAGGCAAACUCUUCAAAAUCUAGGGAUUGUCCAGCUACAGGGCAGAGUUAAAUAAGUUCCAACUGAAAGCAUAUCUUUUUUGAUCCCAUCUUACUGAGACAUAAAAAGCUUCCUCGCUUAUAGAGCUAAGUAAAGUUUUGAAAGGAGAAAAAUGGAUCAAUUUUGACUCUGAAUAUAAUAUGAAAAUUAUAUGGUAAUUGUUAUGCAGAUAGACAGCAGUAGGGUAUAUUAUCUUCAACAAAAAAUGGGAAUGAGAAAAAAAUGGGAAAACAUUUUUAUUUAUGUUUCCACAAAGACAAAGAAAUCAUUUUUAAGAGAGAGAAGAACGAUGUUGAAAAUCCUUCUAUUGAAACUGUGGGAAGGUGGAAAUAGAAGAGAAAAAUAGGAUGGAAUUAUAAUAAAUAAAAAGUGCACUAGCAAGACUGACUUAUUUGUAUCUUUGUACACUUUCCUAGAAAUAAAUACAACUCUGCCUUUGUGGCUUAGUCUCAAGAAGAGAGCCUAGACUAUAACUGUCAUCCUGGAAACUCACUGGCAUAACCAGAGCAAAAGCUUCUUAGCAACCGGUUUUUAAGUUGUUCUGCCAGUCAUUGAGGAAGUAAUACAGUGGUACUUAAAAGCUUAUGAAUCCAUUUUCCUCAAUAAAUAAAUUAACAAGUAUAAUGUU
Molecule: non-coding RNA, 1986 nt
Organism: Pantherophis guttatus
Lineage: Eukaryota; Metazoa; Chordata; Lepidosauria; Squamata; Colubridae
Source: RefSeq, a predicted model, not a curated record